Molecule: ribosomal RNA, 649 nt
Filed under: Butyriboletus regius
Lineage: Eukaryota; Fungi; Basidiomycota; Agaricomycetes; Boletales; Boletaceae
Description: eukaryotic LSU rRNA
Rfam family: Eukaryotic large subunit ribosomal RNA
Source: RNAcentral
GACCUCAAAUCAGGUAGGACCACCCGCUGAACUUAAGCAUAUCAAUAAGCGGAGGAAAAGAAACUAACAAGGAUUCCCCUAGUAACUGCGAGUGAAGCGGGAAGAGCUCAAAUUUUGAAUCUGGCAGUCCUUGGCUGUCCGAGUUGUAAUCUAGAGAAGUGUUUUCCGCGCUGGACCGUGUAUAAGUCUCCUGGAAGGGAGCGUCGUAGAGGGUGAGAAUCCCGUCUUUGACACGGACUACCAGUGCUAUGUGAUGCGCUCUCGACGAGUCGAGUUGUUUGGGAAUGCAGCUCAAAACGGGUGGUAAACUCCAUCUAAAGCUAAAUACAGGCGAGAGACCGAUAGCGAACAAGUACCGUGAGGGAAAGAUGAAAAGAACUUUGGAAAGAGAGUUAAACAGUACGUGAAAUUGCUGAAAGGGAAACGCUUGAUGUCAGUCGCGUUGGCUGGGGAUCAACCUUGCUUCUCGCUGGGUGUACUUCCCGGUCGACGGGUCAGCAUCAGUUUCAGUCACCGUACAAGGGUGAGAGGAACGUGGCACUCCUCGGAGUGUGUUAUAGCCUUUCGUCGUAUGCGGUGGUCGGGACUGAGGUGCUCAGCACGGCUUCUUGCUUGUGCUCAGGAUGCUGGCAUAAUGGCCUUAAGCGAC